RNAcentral lists this ribosomal RNA (453 nucleotides) under uncultured bacterium. RNAcentral describes it as "bacterial SSU rRNA". It matches the Rfam family "Bacterial small subunit ribosomal RNA", at positions 8 to 507 of the family's 1533-position model. The record is from RNAcentral.
AGAGUUUGAUCAUGGCUCAGAACGAACGCUGGCGGCAUGCCUAACACAUGCAAGUCGAACGAGACCUUCGGGUCUAGUGGCGCACGGGUGCGUAACGCGUGGGAACCUGCCUUUAGGUUCGGAAUAACUCAGAGAAAUUUGAGUUAAUACCGGAUAAUGUCUUCGGACCAAAGAUUUAUCGCCUUUAGAUGGGCCCGCGUAAGAUUAGCUAGUUGGUGGGGUAAAGGCCUACCAAGGCGACGAUCUUUAGCUGGUCUGAGAGGAUGAUCAGCCACACUGGGACUGAGACACGGCCCAGACUCCUACGGGAGGCAGCAGUGGGGAAUAUUGGACAAUGGGCGAAAGCCUGAUCCAGCAAUGCCGCGUGAGUGAUGAAGGCCUUAGGGUUGUAAAGCUCUUUUACCCGAGAUGAUAAUGACAGUAUCGGGAGAAUAAGCUCCGGCUAACUCCGUG